UACGUAGGGGGCUAGCGUUGUCCGGAAUCAUUGGGCGUAAAGCGCGCGUAGGCGGCCCGGUAAGUCCGCUGUAAAAGUCCAGGGCUCAACCCUGGAAAGCCGGUGGAUACUGUCGGGCUCGAGUCCGGAAGAGGCGAGUGGAAUUCUUGGUGUAGCGGUGAAAUGCGUAGAUAUCAAGAGGAACACCUGCGGCGAAGGCGGGUUGCUGGGCCGACACUGACGCUGAUGCGCGAAAGCCAGGGGAGCGAACGGG
This 253-nucleotide ribosomal RNA is filed under the name uncultured bacterium. Its description in RNAcentral is "partial 16S ribosomal RNA". It matches the Rfam family "Bacterial small subunit ribosomal RNA", at positions 524 to 776 of the family's 1533-position model. The record is from RNAcentral.